UUAUAUUAAGUGUAAAGACCAUAGGCGCAAAACAGGCACUGAACGAAUUAAUAACCCCCCAUUUUAUUUUGAGCUGGAUGCGAUUUUAGGGGAGAAACAUAAAUGUCAUCCUCAAAAUUUACAAGACACUGAAGGUGAAGACUCCAGUACUAGCAUUUAUGACGAUCCCACACCAAGUACAAGCAGUACUACCAUGGCAAGCACUGAUAGUCAAGUAAAGGAAAAGAUAGGCAUUAAAAAUCGAUUUAAGAAAGUAAAGCAUGGUAUUAAACCAAAAACAUCCAACCAAAUAUAUCUAGAAUUCUUAACAAAACACUUACAACAAGAAGCACAGGAUCGCAAUCAGC
This is a long non-coding RNA of Zophobas morio, 347 nucleotides long. RefSeq lists it as uncharacterized. Lineage: Eukaryota; Metazoa; Arthropoda; Insecta; Coleoptera; Tenebrionidae. The transcript is spliced from 3 exons. The record is from RefSeq and is a predicted model, not a curated record.